GAUGAAGAACGUAGCGAAAUGCGAUACUUGGUGUGAAUUGCAGAAUCCCGUGAACCAUCGAGUCUUUGAACGCAAGUUGCGCCCAAAGCCAUUAGGCCGAGGGCACGCCUGCCUGGGCGUCACACGUCGUUGCCCCCCAUCUACUCCUUCGGGAUUGCGGGGGGCGGAUGAUGGCCUCCCGUGCGCCUCGUCGCGCGGUUGGCAUAAAUGCCAAGUCCUCGGCGACGCACGCCACGACAAUCGGUGGUUGCGAAACCUCGGUUGCCCGUCGUGUGCGGUCGUCGCGCAUCGAGGGCUCGAAAAAAUUGCCGGGCUCCGGCUCGGCUUUCAACGCGACCCCAGGUCAGGCGGGGUUACCCGCUGAAUUUAAGCAUAUCAUAAGCGGAGGA
Molecule: unclassified non-coding RNA, 389 nt
Filed under: soil metagenome
Description: partial contains 5.8S ribosomal RNA, internal transcribed spacer 2, and large subunit ribosomal RNA
Rfam family: 5.8S ribosomal RNA (bases 1-122)
Source: RNAcentral